This 74-nucleotide transfer RNA is filed under the name Candidatus Falkowbacteria bacterium CG11_big_fil_rev_8_21_14_0_20_39_10. Its description in RNAcentral is "tRNA-Gly". It matches the Rfam family "tRNA". Rfam says of the family: Transfer RNA (tRNA) molecules are approximately 80 nucleotides in length. Lineage: Bacteria; Candidatus Falkowiibacteriota. The record is from RNAcentral.
GCGGAAUUAGUAUAGUGGCAAUACGCUUCCUUCCCAAGGAAGAGCCGCCAGUUCGAUUCUGGUAUUCCGCUCAA